This is a long non-coding RNA of Marmota monax (woodchuck), 327 nucleotides long. RefSeq lists it as uncharacterized. The transcript is spliced from 3 exons. The record is from RefSeq and is a predicted model, not a curated record. Lineage: Eukaryota; Metazoa; Chordata; Mammalia; Rodentia; Sciuridae.
UCUAAAUAUGACACUCCACUUCUUCACAAAAUGGUAAUUCUUGUUUGCUUUUGUGUCACAGAACUCCCUGAUGCCAGAUCUUUCAGAUUGGCCUUGGGGUAUUGGAGGAAGAAACUUCUAAUCCUCAGAUCUGGUAUUCUCAUGACUUUAGGCACUAAUCAGUGUUGUGUCUAUCUACUGAAUAGAAGAGCUCAUACUUUGGGCACCCCUUUGUGACUCUAAGGAAAAACCACUUGACCAAUAGUCUCAAAGUUGUAGAUGGAUACAAUAUCUUUAUUUAUUUAUUUUUAUGUGAUGCUGAGGAUUGAACCUAGGGCCUCACAUGUG